Molecule: non-coding RNA, 74 nt
Organism: Dallia pectoralis (Alaska blackfish)
Lineage: Eukaryota; Metazoa; Chordata; Actinopteri; Esociformes; Umbridae
Source: the annotation of a GenBank genome assembly
GAAUCAAGACAGCUCAGUGGUCGAGUGCAUGCUUCGUGUGUAUGACGCCCUGGGUUCAAAUCCCAGCUGCUCCC